GCAGGAAACUCUGGCUCCUUCUGCUCAUGUUUCCUGCUUCCAGCGCAUUCUAUUACCUGCCCAGCUGUGGCCAGAAGAGGCUGGUUGGUGGAAGCUCAGCUGAUGCACACUGAGUUCAGCUUUGUGGUUUUGCCUUUCACUCUGUGCCGGUCCAUGGGAUGCCUGGGGCAGCUCUGUUCCAGGCUGUGGAGAACACGACAGUUCUUUUAGCUGUUAUCCUGCUCCUGGGACUAGAGUACCACCUGAGGUAUGUUCUUCUCAUAAGAAUGGCAAAAAUUUUAGAGAGCAAGUGGAAACACAGGAGGAUAUUAAGUUCUUGGCUCAGAAAUUACGUACUUCUACCUACAUGCCAUUGGUCAAAAUGGGUUCCAAGCCGACCCCAAGUCAAGCAAUGGAGAAGUCCGCUCUGUCUUCCUUUAGGCCACACAAAGGUAUGGAUGCAAAAAGAAGACUGGAAUUGGGAUCGAGAGACAGAGAGAGCACAAGCUGCCAGGAGAAGAGGAGAGAAUCUGAGGCAGACUCCACUGCACUGAGCGCAGAGCCUGAUGUGGGGGCUCAAUCCCAUGACUGCGAGAUCAUAACCUCAACUGAAAUCAUCCGGGCACCCCAAUAUUUGUCUUUUAAAAAGGACUUUCAAUGGUUUAUGCAGUCAUAUUGAGUGGGCUUUAAGCACUAAGGCAGCGUUUGUAGGAAUGACUGUUCCUACAAAUGUGGGGUUCUCAGAUCCCCUCAGAUACUACUGCAUAAACAAAUUGCUUUGUGAACACCAGCCUCUGGAACAGUUUCUGAACUUACUGUCUUAGAAUGUAAUAUUUAUCAAAUGUGAGAAUAUUUUGGGUAAUAUUAUCUGAUCAGGGCUGCUACAUAUUAUUUUAUUGUGGAGGGGCAUUUAAUUCCAAAAAUUUU
Lutra lutra (Eurasian river otter) is the source of this 906-nucleotide long non-coding RNA. RefSeq lists it as uncharacterized. The record is from RefSeq and is a predicted model, not a curated record. NCBI's taxonomy places the organism in Eukaryota, Metazoa, Chordata, Mammalia, Carnivora, Mustelidae. The transcript is spliced from 3 exons.